Molecule: long non-coding RNA, 2064 nt
Organism: Aquila chrysaetos chrysaetos
Lineage: Eukaryota; Metazoa; Chordata; Aves; Accipitriformes; Accipitridae
Exons: 2
Source: RefSeq, a predicted model, not a curated record
GUCUCUACUGUGUAUAAAACACUCAGUAUCGGUGACAUUUGCCUCUUCUCUUAGUGAUAAAAUACAUUUAUUUGUGAAGUAGAUCUUAAUCUAUCUCAGAAAAGUGUUUUUAGUUUUUCACAGUAGCAUUUAUAAUGAUUGAAAGUGUAGGCUAGAGAGGACAUCUUUCUGUAGCAACGAACAAAAAUAAGAAUAACUUUUCAGCAUUACCGUAUAUCAAUAGCCAAUUAUUUUUGUAUGGAUGGGUUCUGGCUGGCCGGUAAUGGACUGACAAUGAGAUAAGUCUUCCAGGAGAGAAACCAUCAUUUUAAAGAUGGAGUGGCUGGCCUUUUAAUUUUAAGGUAUUACCAAAAUCACACCUUUCACCUUUAAAAAUUGUAAAUGAUCAGAGUCUUGUUCUAAAUCAUUUAAUUGCUGUUUGAACUGAGCCUGGCUCAUGCUUUGCAGGGGUUUGUCUUUCUUAGCACUGAUGGUGUCAUUUACAUUUCUUAAUUUUUCUUGAAGAACGACAUCCUCCUUGCUUGUACUCUCCCUCCCAGCCUGCUUGCUGGCCAUCUGUCUGCAGAGGCAAUUUAAGGAAUCUGUAGCCAAUUCACCCUUGCUCAUAUGUAUUUCUUGAACUUGAUAUACAGCGUAGAUAUGCACAGGCGUAAAGUAAAACCUAUUAAGCAAUGAGAUAAAACACAAAGAUGCUUUAGAAAACUUUUUCAAAUGUUUCAGAUGAGGCAGGCUCACAUUUCUUGCUGGUUUUUCUUCUUUUUUGGUGCAUAUUUUUUCAUCGUCACCUGUUCCAUUCAUCUGCCUCUUUCUCUCUGACUCGGGGAGUUUUGACGACGUGGAUUAGGAGUCCCGUACCUCUGACCGACUGCCUACUUCUCUGCUGUGCAGCCUGCGUCAUAACAGCUCUGCUAAAGCUCCUCACUUUAAACUUCCUCUUGAAAACAAGCUUGAAAGAAAGAUCACCAUAUGCUCCAGAAUGCGCACCAAGACUUUCCCAUGACUCGACUGUACGUGCAAAUAGCUGAGGAGCUUGGGAUAAAAUCUAAGCACCUUAUUAUUAUCCGUGCCCAUGGAUCAAAGUGCUUUCUUGUCUUCAGAUAAACACUGUCCACUGGCUUUGAUGAUCUCUCUUGUGCAGCUGGGAGAAGAGACCAACAAAAUAUCCAGAGACAGGUAAAUUGAGGAAAACAGGUGCCGUUCCCAAAGCCGCAAGUUUGGUCAAUGGCCAUGGGACCUGUUCACGCCGGUCCCGCCGUUAGCCCUACAGUCAGCCUUGCGUGUCUGGUUUCCCAGGGCAAUGGAGAUGGAGGGAGCUGCUGAAAGUCGCCACGUCUAUUUUAAUUCAGCUACGAAGGCAGGGAUGAAGCGCUGCAAUCCAGCAUCCAGCAUUUGCAGGCACUUACCAAACAGAGCAAUCGUUUACUAAAACACGAUGAAGAUGGAGAAGGACGGGUCACCAAGGGCAGCAACUACCUAGAUGUGGGCCUCCACCCAUUUUGACCACCCGAAGGACAAGCCACUGCUGCGGAGGCUCGUCCAUAGACAUCCCAGCUGGUAAUGACACGGGAGAACAGCACCCGCAGAAAACUCCUGCGUGUCUGCAGCUCUUGACCUUGGCCCUCUCCAUUUGCUGCAUCUUGAAUGGAGGGUUGCGGUUAGAAAAGUUCAAGUCUGAGCUCCAUGUCAGCUUUUCAGAGCAGCCUCUCGGUGUGCUAAUGCUGUACGCUGAGAGCAGGCUUUAAAUACGUGUGUGUUUGUAUGAAGAUGACCACAUUAAAUUUAAGCAGAAGUAAAUGGUAAUUUAACUGGCACAGAUACACAAGGCUGACAUAAUCUCUGAAGGUUUGAGGCUGCUAUUAAAUUUGUUCCUCCUUAUUAAUUUGUGACCAAGAGGAUAAUGAAAAACUGGCAACUCUAAAGUUGACAUAAAAAGUAAGAGAUAUACAGUUGGCAUGGAUAAUUUUAUGCGCUGUCAAAGUAAAAAGGCUUUGCUAAAUGUAUGUAGACAAAGAUACACACUGUCAUCUUAAUGAGCAAUUAAAAGAUGGACUCCUAAUAAUUGAA